CGGAGGAAAAGAACCAACAGGGAUUGCCCUAGUAACGGCGAGUGAAGCGGCAACAGCUCAAAUUUGAAAUCUGGCUCUCGGGCCCGAGUUGUAAUUUGUAGAGGAUGACUUUGAUGCGGUGCCUUCCGAGUUCCCUGGAACGGGACGCCAUAGAGGGUGAGAGCCCCGUCUGGUUGGAUGCCAAAUCUCUGUAAGUCUCCUUCGACGAGUCGAGUAGUUUGGGAAUGCUGCUCUAAAUGGGAGGUAUAUGUCUUCUAAAGCUAAAUACCGGCCAGAGACCGAUAGCGCACAAGUAGAGUGAUCGAAAGAUGAAAAGCACUUUGAAAAGAGAGUUAAAAAGUACGUGAAAUUGUUGAAAGGGAAGCGUUUAUGACCAGACUUGGGCUUGGUUAAUCAUCUGGGGUUCUCCCCAGUGCACUUUUCCAGUUCAGGCCAGCAUCAGUUUUCGCCGGGGGAUAAAGACUUCGGGAAUGUGGCUCCUCUCGGGGAGUGUUAUAGCCCGUUGUGUAAUACCCUGGUGGGGACUGAGGUUCGCGCUUCUGCAAGGAUGCUGGCGUAAUGGUCAUCAACGACCCGUCUUGAAACACGGACCAAGGAGUCGUCUUCGUAUGCGAGUGUUCGGGUGUCAAACCCCUACGCGUAAUGAAAGUGAACGCAGGUGAGAGCUUCGGCGCAUCAUCGACCGAUCCUGAUGUUCUCGGAUGGAUUUGAGUAAGAGCAUACGGGGCCGGACCCGAAAGAAGGNGAACUAUGCCUGUGUAGGGUGAAGCCNGANGAAACUCUGGUGGAGGNUCGCA
This 797-nucleotide ribosomal RNA is filed under the name Fusarium sporotrichioides. RNAcentral describes it as "LSU rRNA". It matches the Rfam family "Eukaryotic large subunit ribosomal RNA", at positions 51 to 879 of the family's 3401-position model. Lineage: Eukaryota; Fungi; Ascomycota; Sordariomycetes; Hypocreales; Nectriaceae. The record is from RNAcentral.